AAAUUGAAGAGUUUGAUCAUGGCUCAGAUUGAACGCUGGCGGCAGGCCUAACACAUGCAAGUCGAACGGUAGCACAGAGGAGCUUGCUCCUUGGGUGACGAGUGGCGGACGGGUGAGUAAUGUCUGGGAAACUGCCCGAUGGAGGGGGAUAACUACUGGAAACGGUAGCUAAUACCGCAUAACGUCGCAAGACCAAAGAGGGGGACCUUCGGGCCUCUU
RNAcentral lists this ribosomal RNA (219 nucleotides) under Citrobacter freundii. RNAcentral's name for it is "partial 16S ribosomal RNA". It matches the Rfam family "Bacterial small subunit ribosomal RNA", at positions 1 to 218 of the family's 1533-position model. The record is from RNAcentral. Lineage: Bacteria; Pseudomonadati; Pseudomonadota; Gammaproteobacteria; Enterobacterales; Enterobacteriaceae.